UAAAUUUUAAGUUAUAAAAACUUAGAGCCUUCAAAGUUCUCAAAAAGAUCAUCUUAAAUUUAA
This 63-nucleotide transfer RNA is filed under the name Metacrangonyx goulmimensis. Its description in RNAcentral is "transfer RNA Tryptophan". The record is from RNAcentral. Lineage: Eukaryota; Metazoa; Arthropoda; Malacostraca; Amphipoda; Metacrangonyctidae.